CCUGGGACUUACGUCCCAGGCUUUACGCUUCCGCCGCCUCCGCGGCU
RNAcentral lists this small RNA (47 nucleotides) under Stieleria varia. RNAcentral's name for it is "Planctomycetes bacterium Pla52n Acido-Lenti-1". Lineage: Bacteria; Pseudomonadati; Planctomycetota; Planctomycetia; Pirellulales; Pirellulaceae. The record is from RNAcentral.